GACGAACGCUGGCGGCGUGCUUAACACAUGCAAGUCGAACGGAAAGGCCCUGCUUUUGUGGGGUGCUCGAGUGGCGAACGGGUGAGUAACACGUGAGUAACCUGCCCUUGACUUUGGGAUAACUUCAGGAAACUGGGGCUAAUACUGGAUAGGAGCUCCUGCUGCAUGGUGGGGGUUGGAAAGUUUCGGCGGUUGGGGAUGGACUCGCGGCUUAUCAGCUUGUUGGUGGGGUAGUGGCUUACCAAGGCUUUGACGGGUAGCCGGCCUGAGAGGGUGACCGGCCACAUUGGGACUGAGAUACGGACCAGUCUCCUACGGGAGGCAGCAGUGGGGAAUAUUGCACAAUGGGCGGAAGCCUGAUGCAGCAACGCCGCGUGCGGGAUGACGGCCUUCGGGUUGUAAACCGCUUUCGCCUGUGACGAAGCGUGAGUGACGGUAAUGGGUAAAGAAGCACCGGCUAACUACGUG
RNAcentral lists this ribosomal RNA (468 nucleotides) under uncultured bacterium. RNAcentral describes it as "partial 16S ribosomal RNA". It matches the Rfam family "Bacterial small subunit ribosomal RNA", at positions 28 to 507 of the family's 1533-position model. The record is from RNAcentral.